AGAUUGAACGCCGGCGGAAUGCCUUACACAUGCAAGUCGAACGGCAGCACGGGAGCAAUCCUGGUGCGAGUGGCGAACGGGUGAGUAAUACAUCGGAACGUGCCCAAUCGUGGGGGAUAACGUAGCGAAAGCUACGCUAAUACCGCAUACGAUCUACGGAUGAAAGCAGGGGAUCGCAAGACCUUGCGCGAAUCGGAGCGGCCGUAUGGCGGAGUUAGGGUAGUUGGGUAGGGUAAAGGCUCACCAAGCCUUACGAUCUAGUAGCUGGUC
This 270-nucleotide ribosomal RNA is filed under the name uncultured soil bacterium. Its description in RNAcentral is "partial 16S ribosomal RNA". It matches the Rfam family "Bacterial small subunit ribosomal RNA", at positions 26 to 292 of the family's 1533-position model. The record is from RNAcentral.